Molecule: ribosomal RNA, 491 nt
Filed under: uncultured bacterium
Lineage: Bacteria
Description: partial 16S ribosomal RNA
Rfam family: Bacterial small subunit ribosomal RNA
Source: RNAcentral
AGUGAACGCUGGCGGUAGGCCUAACACAUGCAAGUCGAACGGCAGCACAGUAAGAGCUUGCUCUUACGGGUGGCGAGUGGCGACGGGUGAGGAAUACAUCGGAAUCUACUUUUUCGUGGGGGAUUACGUAGGGAAACUUACGCUAAUACCGCAUACGACCUACGGGUGAAAGCAGGGGAUCUUCGGACCUUGCGCGAUUGAAUGAGCCGAUGUCGGAUUAGCUAGUUGGCGGGGUAAAGGCCCACCAAGGCGACGAUCCGUAGCUGGUCUGAGAGGAUGAUCAGCCACACUGGAACUGAGACACGGUCCAGACUCCUACGGGAGGCAGCAGUGGGGAAUAUUGGACAAUGGGCGCAAGCCUGAUCCAGCCAUACCGCGUGGGUGAAGAAGGCCUUCGGGUUGUAAAGCCCUUUUGUUGGGAAAGAAAAGCAGCAGGUUAAUACCCCGCUGUUCUGACGGUACCCAAAGAAUAAGCACCGGCUAACUUCGUG